Molecule: ribosomal RNA, 200 nt
Filed under: uncultured bacterium
Lineage: Bacteria
Description: partial 16S ribosomal RNA
Rfam family: Bacterial small subunit ribosomal RNA
Source: RNAcentral
AGAGUUUGAUCCUGGCUCAGGACGAACGCUGGCGGCGUGCCUAAGACAUGCAAGUCGUGCGGAUCCCUUCGGGGGUCAGCGGCGGACGGGUGAGUAACACGUGGAUAACCUGCCUGAUGCUUCGGAAUAACAGACCGAAAGGUCUGCUAAUGCGGGAUAAGCUCACGGAGCCGCAUGGCUUUGGGAGAAAAGGCGCUGCA